AACGGAAACUUCCCGCGCUACGGCGGCUCCAACGGGCCGCUUCCGCCGCAUUGCGUAGCGAAGCCCCCGGCGAGCCGAGGCUGGGAGCGCGGUGAUGGCCGGUCCCCGUGAGCAGAGGGCAGCGGCGGCGGGACCGGGGACUCUGGGCCAAUGGGUAAAGCCAGGAGGAAGCCCGUGCCUGGCCCGUUGGGCUCCCUCCUCCUCAGAGCCGAAGCAGUCCACACUCGGAACCCAGCUUCACCCGGAUUACCGAGGGGUUCCACGCCUGGAGGCAGAGCUGCAGCGUGGGCCCGCUCGCGGCUUUGCAGAAAACAAAUAAUGACACACUUCUCUGGAAGCCCGGGGCCUGGGCCCAGAGCCGUGGCUUCUGCCAAACUUUCUGGUCCCGGACACCAACUCCCCGCCUCUCAGCCCGAGGCCACAGCGGCCCAGCACCCUGCACCUUUUAAAGUGGCUCCAAAAAGGAGAAAGCCAAAUAGAUCAGGGUGGUAGGCGCGAGUGCAGGGAGCUGCGAAGUUGGAAGAUUACUGCUUUUCAAACUGCCAAAGAGCAAAAUACUAAGCGAGAAACUCCGUCCAAAGCAACUGGAACUCGAGGUUCUUUACUAAUGAGAGUUCCAGUUACCAUCUUCAGAGAAAGGAGCUCAAAAGAGGGAGUUUAUUUUUUGCGGAAUGUCUUCCUUGUUAAGAAGAAAAUUAAAGAUUAAAAAAGAAAAUGAAGGGUCUGGCAACUAUGAACCUAAUGGUGCCCUAACGUUUGCUAUUCUAAGGCCGAGAAUGCCAGAUGGGGAGAACGCCAUGAGCUUUUGAGCUUGUGUAUUUUGCGAGAGGCUCGAGUGUGAACAGUAGACUACAGGCCUUGAGACUGAGAAGGAAGCUAUAAAAUGUGGGCCAAGGGAAUGUCUGCAGGACCGGGUUUCAGAGCACCCUAUCGUGGCGGAUAAAGAGCCACUAACAGCUUUUUUCUUUAUUUAGUAGCCAAAUUCUUGGUUGGCGCUUUGAGAAAGGAGUAAGCAUUAAGCGAAUUUAACCAAGUAAAAUGUAUCGUCCUGCCCUUUGUAGUCCCAUAGUUCACUAUCCUAGAGAUACCUAUUUUUCACUAUUUUAUUAAAGUGUAUUGAAAACCUACAAAAAAAAAAAAAAAA
This 1144-nucleotide long non-coding RNA is filed under the name Homo sapiens (human). Its description in RNAcentral is "FGF14 antisense RNA 2 (FGF14-AS2)". The record is from RNAcentral. Lineage: Eukaryota; Metazoa; Chordata; Mammalia; Primates; Hominidae.